This 916-nucleotide ribosomal RNA is filed under the name Penicillium glabrum. RNAcentral's name for it is "LSU rRNA". It matches the Rfam family "Eukaryotic large subunit ribosomal RNA", at positions 31 to 966 of the family's 3401-position model. Lineage: Eukaryota; Fungi; Ascomycota; Eurotiomycetes; Eurotiales; Aspergillaceae. The record is from RNAcentral.
AACUUAAGCAUAUCAAUAAGCGGAGGAAAAGAAACCAACAGGGAUUACCUCAGUAACGGCGAGUGAAGCGGUAAGAGCUCAAAUUUGAAAGCUGGCUCCUUCGGGGUCCGCAUUGUAAUUUGCAGAGGAUGUUUCGGGAGCAGCCCCCAUCUAAGUGUCCUGGAACGGACCGUCAUAGAGGGUGAGAAUCCCGUAUGGGAUGGGGUGUCUGCGCCCAUGUGAAACUCCUUCGACGAGUCGAGUUGUUUGGGAAUGCAGCUCUAAAUGGGUGGUAAAUUUCAUCUAAAGCUAAAUAUUGGCCGGAGACCGAUAGCGCACAAGUAGAGUGAUCGAAAGAUGAAAAGCACUUUGAAAAGAGAGUUAAAAAGCACGUGAAAUUGUUGAAAGGGAAGCGCUUGCGAUCAGACUCGCCUUGGGGGUUCAGCCGGCAUUCGUGCCGGUGUACUUCCCCCAGGGCGGGCCAGCGUCGGUUUGGGUGGCCGGUCAAAGGCCCUUGGAAUGUAACGCCUCUCGGGGCGUCUUAUAGCCAAGGGUGCCAUGCGGCCUACCUGGACCGAGGAACGCGCUUCGGCUCGGACGCUGGCAUAAUGGUCGUAAGCGACCCGUCUUGAAACACGGACCAAGGAGUCUAACAUCUACGCGAGUGUUCGGGUGUCAAACCCGUGCGCGCAGUGAAAGCGAACGGAGGUGGGAACCCUUUGGGUGCACCAUCGACCGAUCCUGAUGUCUUCGGAUGGAUUUGAGUAAGAGCGUAGCUGUUGGGACCCGAAAGAUGGUGAACUAUGCCUGAAUAGGGCGAAGCCAGAGGAAACUCUGGUGGAGGCUCGCAGCGGUUCUGACGUGCAAAUCGAUCGUAGAAUUUGGGUAUAGGGGCGAAAGACUAAUCGAACCAUCUAGUAGCUGGUUCCUGCCGAAU